GUCAACGCUGGCGGGAGGCCUAACCCCUGCCAGUCGGACGGCAGCACAGUAAGAGCUUGCUCUUACGGGUGGCGAGUGGCGGACGGGGGAGGAAUACAUCGGAAUCUACUUUUUCGUGGGGGAUAACGUAGGGAAACUUACGCUAAUACCGCAUACGACCUACGGGUGAAAGCAGGGGAUCUUCUGCCCUUGCGCGAUUGAAUGAGCCGAUGUCGGAUUAGCUAGUUGGCGGGGUAAAGGCCCACCAAGGCGACGAUCCGUAGCUGGUCGGAGAGGAUGAGCAGCCGCACUGGGACUGUGACCCGGUCCAGACUCCUUCGGGAGGCAGCAGUGGGGAAUCUUGGGCAAUGGGCGCAAGCCUGAGCCAGCCAUGCCGCGUGGGGGAAGAAGGCCGUCGGGUUGUAAAGCCCGUUUGUUGGGAAAGAAAAGCAGCAGGUUAAUACCCCGCUGUUCUGGCGGUUCCCGAAGAAUAAGCACCCGCUUACUUCGUGC
Molecule: ribosomal RNA, 492 nt
Filed under: uncultured bacterium
Lineage: Bacteria
Description: partial 16S ribosomal RNA
Rfam family: Bacterial small subunit ribosomal RNA
Source: RNAcentral